This is a non-coding RNA of Vicia faba (fava bean), 303 nucleotides long. NCBI's taxonomy places the organism in Eukaryota, Viridiplantae, Streptophyta, Magnoliopsida, Fabales, Fabaceae. The record is from the annotation of a GenBank genome assembly.
AUGCGAGUUACGGUUAGCGGCGGAAUCAGAAUCCUGACGGAAACCACGGCCUUUCGUCUUCUUGGGAACGGAGAGAGUCGAAGAAGCGGUGAUGGCGGAUUUGAGUUUAGGAUGAGGUGGGUUUAUGGUGUUUGUUGGUUUACAGAGGAGAUCGAGGGAAUGAUGAUGGUGAAAUGGAAGGCGGUUGUUAAUGGGGAUGGUACGGUGGGAGCAUUUGGAAAUGGGUGGUUGUGUAAGGUUGUUGUGAAGGGGAAAACGGAGAGGGUGGAGGUUGUGACUCCGGCGACGGGAAGACAGUGGUGA